RNAcentral lists this ribosomal RNA (2902 nucleotides) under Acinetobacter baumannii. Its description in RNAcentral is "LSU rRNA". It matches the Rfam family "Bacterial large subunit ribosomal RNA". The record is from RNAcentral. Lineage: Bacteria; Pseudomonadati; Pseudomonadota; Gammaproteobacteria; Moraxellales; Moraxellaceae. RNAcentral also lists the same sequence under 43 other names.
AGUCAAGUAAUUAAGUGCAUGUGGUGGAUGCCUUGGCAGUCAGAGGCGAUGAAAGACGUGAUAGCCUGCGAAAAGCUCCGGGGAGGCGGCAAAUAUCCUUUGAUCCGGAGAUGUCUGAAUGGGGGAACCCACCUACUUUAAGGUAGGUAUUGCAACAUGAAUACAUAGUGUUGCAAGGCGAACGAGGGGAAGUGAAACAUCUCAGUACCCUUAGGAAAAGAAAUCAAUUGAGAUUCCCUCAGUAGCGGCGAGCGAACGGGGAUCAGCCCAUUAAGUUAUGUGUGUUUUAGUGGAACGCUCUGGGAAGUGCGAACGUAGAGGGUGAUAUUCCCGUACACGAAAGGGCACACAUAAUGAUGACGAGUAGGGCGAGGCACGUGAAACCUUGUCUGAAUAUGGGGGGACCAUCCUCCAAGGCUAAAUACUCCUGACUGACCGAUAGUGAACCAGUACCGUGAGGGAAAGGCGAAAAGAACCCCUGUGAGGGGAGUGAAAUAGAUCCUGAAACCGCAUGCAUACAAGCAGUGGGAGCACCUUCGUGGUGUGACUGCGUACCUUUUGUAUAAUGGGUCAGCGACUUAUAUUCAGUAGCGAGGUUAACCGUAUAGGGGAGCCGUAGAGAAAUCGAGUCUUAAUAGGGCGUUUAGUUGCUGGGUAUAGACCCGAAACCAGGCGAUCUAUCCAUGAGCAGGUUGAAGGUUGGGUAACACUAACUGGAGGACCGAACCCACUGUCGUUGAAAAGCCAGGGGAUGACUUGUGGAUAGGGGUGAAAGGCUAAUCAAGCCUGGUGAUAGCUGGUUCUCCCCGAAAGCUAUUUAGGUAGCGCCUCGGACGAAUACCAUAGGGGGUAGAGCACUGUUUCGGCUAGGGGGUCAUCCCGACUUACCAAACCGAUGCAAACUCCGAAUACCUAUGAGUACUAUCCGGGAGACAGACUGCGGGUGCUAACGUCCGUAGUCAAGAGGAAAACAAUCCAGACCGCCAGCUAAGGCCCCAAAAUCAUAGUUAAGUGGGAAACGAUGUGGGAAGGCAUAGACAGCUAGGAGGUUGGCUUAGAAGCAGCCACCCUUUAAAGAAAGCGUAAUAGCUCACUAGUCGAGUCGGCCUGCGCGGAAGAUGUAACGGGGCUAAAACUAUGUGCCGAAGCUGCGGAUGUAUACUUUGUAUACGUGGUAGGGGAGCGUUCUGUAAGCCGAUGAAGGUGUGUUGAGAAGCAUGCUGGAGGUAUCAGAAGUGCGAAUGCUGACGUGAGUAACGACAAAACGGGUGAAAAACCCGUUCGCCGAAAGACCAAGGGUUCCAGUCCAACGUUAAUCGGGGCUGGGUGAGUCGACCCCUAAGGCGAGGCCGAAAGGCGUAGUCGAUGGGAAAAUGGUUAAUAUUCCAUUACUUCUGUGUAAUGCGAUGAGAGGACGGAGAAGGCUAAAUCAGCCUGGCGUUGGUUGUCCAGGUGAAAGGAUGUAGGCAUGUAUCUUAGGCAAAUCCGGGGUACUCUAUGCUGAGAUCUGAUAGCAAGCUGUACUUGUACAGCGAAGUGGUUGAUGCCAUGCUUCCAGGAAAAGUCUCUAAGCUUCAGUUACACAGGAAUCGUACCCGAAACCGACACAGGUGGUCAGGUCGAGUAGACCAAGGCGCUUGAGAGAACUCUGCUGAAGGAACUAGGCAAAAUGGUACCGUAACUUCGGGAGAAGGUACGCUGUUGUUGGUGAUGGAACUCGCUUCCUGAGCUGACGACAGCCGCAGAAACCAGGCCGCUGCAACUGUUUAUUAAAAACAUAGCACUCUGCAAACACGAAAGUGGACGUAUAGGGUGUGAUGCCUGCCCGGUGCUGGAAGGUUAAUUGAUGGGGUUAGCGUAAGCGAAGCUCUUGAUCGAAGCCCCAGUAAACGGCGGCCGUAACUAUAACGGUCCUAAGGUAGCGAAAUUCCUUGUCGGGUAAGUUCCGACCUGCACGAAUGGCAUAAUGAUGGCGGCGCUGUCUCCAGCAGAGGCUCAGUGAAAUCGAAAUCGCUGUGAAGAUGCAGUGUACCCGCGGCUAGACGGAAAGACCCCGUGAACCUUUACUGCAGCUUGACACUGAACUUUGACCUUACUUGUGUAGGAUAGGUGGGAGGCUUUGAAGCUGGAACGCUAGUUCCAGUGGAGCCGUCCUUGAAAUACCACCCUGGUAAUGUUGAGGUUCUAACUCUGUCCCGUGAUCCGGGACGAGGACCGUGUCUGGUGGGUAGUUUGACUGGGGCGGUCUCCUCCUAAAGAGUAACGGAGGAGUACGAAGGUGCGCUCAGCGUGGUCGGAAAUCACGCGUAGAGUAUAAAGGCAAAAGCGCGCUUAACUGCGAGACCCACAAGUCGAGCAGGUACGAAAGUAGGUCUUAGUGAUCCGGUGGUUCUGUAUGGAAGGGCCAUCGCUCAACGGAUAAAAGGUACUCUGGGGAUAACAGGCUGAUACCGCCCAAGAGUUCAUAUCGACGGCGGUGUUUGGCACCUCGAUGUCGGCUCAUCUCAUCCUGGGGCUGAAGCAGGUCCCAAGGGUAUGGCUGUUCGCCAUUUAAAGAGGUACGCGAGCUGGGUUUAGAACGUCGUGAGACAGUUCGGUCCCUAUCUACCGUGGGCGCUGGAAAUUUGAGAGGAUCUGCUCCUAGUACGAGAGGACCAGAGUGGACGAACCUCUGGUGUACCGGUUGUGACGCCAGUCGCAUCGCCGGGUAGCUAUGUUCGGAAGGGAUAACCGCUGAAAGCAUCUAAGCGGGAAGCCUACCUCAAGAUAAGAUUUCCCUAGGACUUUAUGUCCUCUAAAGAGCCGUUCGAGACUAGGACGUUGAUAGGUUGGAUGUGGAAGCAUAGUGAUAUGUGAAGCUGACCAAUACUAAUUGCUCGUGAGGCUUGACUAUACAACACCC